ANCCUCGGAGUGUAAAGCUCUGUGUACGGGAAGAGAAGCAGACGGUACCGUACGAGGAAGCCCCCGCCAAACUACGGUGCCAGCACCCGGGUAAUACGUAGGGGGCAAGCGUUGUCCGGGAAUUACUGGGCGUAAAGCGCAGCAGCGGCCCAUCAAAUCGGUUUGUAAAAGCAGUGGCUCAACUACGGUAAGACGGCCGAUACUGAUGAGCUAGAGUAUGUGAGAGGAACGGAAUUCCCGGUGUACGGUGAAAUGCGUAGAAUAUCGGGAGGAACAACCAGUGGCGAAGGCGGCUUCCUGGCACAAGACUGACGCUCAUGUGCGAAAGCUAGGGUAGCGAACGGGAUUAGAUACCCCGGUAGUCCUAGCCGUAAACGAUGGAUACUGGGUGUGGGUGCCGCAGGGCAUCUGUGCCGGAGCGAACGCGUUAAGUAUCCCGCCUGCGGGACUACAGGUCGCAAGACUGAAACUCAAAGGAAUUGACGGGGGCCCGCACAAGCGGUGGAGCACGUGGUUUAAUUCGAUGCAAACCGAAGAACCUUACCUGGGUUUGACAUGACGGUGUUAGGCGCGAGAGAUUGCGCCGACCGCGCAGAGAUGCGCGGAGCCGCACACAGGUGCUGCAUGGCUGUCGUCAGCUCGUGUCGUGAGAUGUUGGGUCAAGUCCCAACGACCGGGGCNAAU
This 684-nucleotide ribosomal RNA is filed under the name uncultured bacterium. RNAcentral describes it as "bacterial SSU rRNA". It matches the Rfam family "Bacterial small subunit ribosomal RNA", at positions 414 to 1106 of the family's 1533-position model. The record is from RNAcentral.